This is a long non-coding RNA of Photinus pyralis (common eastern firefly), 307 nucleotides long. RefSeq lists it as uncharacterized. The record is from RefSeq and is a predicted model, not a curated record. The transcript has 2 exons. NCBI's taxonomy places the organism in Eukaryota, Metazoa, Arthropoda, Insecta, Coleoptera, Lampyridae.
AACCGUAUAAAAGACCAUCGCUCUGAUGUCGGAUUCGUACUUGAAACAGUUGCCAAAAGACGAAACAUAAUGUUCCCGACGUUCUUCAUCGCCGUGCUACUAGCACUUUUUGUAUUCGUGCAUGAAGGUACCGCUGACGAUUUCUUAGAUUGUUAUGAGAGAUGCUCCAGUGCACGUGACUACCUAGGCUUGACAAGCUGCAUACAAAGCAACUGUUACUGAAAACGCGUAUGGUCAAUGCACUGUUCAAAUACGUUAUGGCUAAACCAUGUAACUUUGACACCAAAUAAAUUUAGUAGCUUGUAAA